AUUGAACGCUGGCGGCAGGCCUAACACAUGCAAGUCGAGCGGAUGAAGGGAGCUUGCUCCUGGAUUCAGCGGCGGACGGGUGAGUAAUGCCUAGGAAUCUGCCUGGUAGUGGGGGAUAACGUCCGGAAACCGGCGCUAAUACCGCAUACGUCCUGAGGGAGAAAGUGGGGGAUCUUCGGACCUCACGCUAUCAGAUGAGCCUAGGUCGGAUUAGCUAGUUGGUGGGGUAAAGGCCUACCAAGGCGACGAUCCGUAACUGGUCUGAGAGGAUGAUCAGUCACACUGGAACUGAGACACGGUCCAGACUCCUACGGGAGGCAGCAGUGGGGAAUAUUGGACAAUGGGCGAAAGCCUGAUCCAGCCAUGCCGCGUGUGUGAAGAAGGUCUUCGGAUUUUAAAGCACUUUAAGUUGGGAGGAAGGGAAGUAAGUUAAUACCUUGCUGUUUUGACGUUACCAACAGAAAAAGCACCGGCUAACUUCGUG
Molecule: ribosomal RNA, 484 nt
Filed under: uncultured bacterium
Lineage: Bacteria
Description: partial 16S ribosomal RNA
Rfam family: Bacterial small subunit ribosomal RNA
Source: RNAcentral